Molecule: ribosomal RNA, 433 nt
Filed under: uncultured bacterium
Lineage: Bacteria
Description: partial 16S ribosomal RNA
Rfam family: Bacterial small subunit ribosomal RNA
Source: RNAcentral
AACGAACGCUGGCGGCAUGCCUAACACAUGCAAGUCGAACGAGACCUUCGGGUCUAGUGGCGCACGGGUGCGUAACGCGUGGGAACCUGCCCUUAGGUUCGGAAUAACUCCCCGGAAGGGGUGCUAAUACCGGAUAAUGUCUUCGGACCAAAGAUUUAUCGCCUUUGGAUGGGCCCGCGUUGGAUUAGCUAGUUGGUAGGGUAAAAGCCUACCAAGGCGACGAGCCAUAGCGGGUCUGAGAGGAGGAUCAGCCACACUGGGACUGAGACACGGCCCAGACUCCUACGGGAGGCAGCAGUGGGGAAUAUUGGACAAUGGGCGAAAGCCUGAUCCAGCAAUGCCGCGUGAGUGAUGAAGGCCUUAGGGUUGUAAAGCUCUUUUACCCGGGAUGAUAAUGACAGUACCGGGAGAAUAAGCUCCGGCUAACUCCGUG